This 386-nucleotide ribosomal RNA is filed under the name uncultured bacterium. RNAcentral's name for it is "bacterial SSU rRNA". It matches the Rfam family "Bacterial small subunit ribosomal RNA", at positions 30 to 412 of the family's 1533-position model. The record is from RNAcentral.
AUUGAACGCUGGCGGCAGGCCUAACACAUGCAAGUCGAACGGUAACAGGAAACAGCUUGCUGUUUCGCUGACGAGUGGCGGACGGGUGAGUAAUGUCUGGGAAACUGCCUGAUGGAGGGGGAUAACUACUGGAAACGGUAGCUAAUACCGCAUAACGUCGCAAGACCAAAGAGGGGGACCCUCGGGCCUCUUGCUAUCGGAUGUGCCCAGAUGGGAUUAGCUUGUUGGUGGGGUAACGGCUCACCAAGGCGACGAUCCCUAGCUGGUCUGAGAGAUGACCAGCCACACUGGAACUGAGACACGGUCCAGACUCCUACGGUGGCAGCAGUGGGGAAUAUUGCACAAUGGGCGCAAGCCUGAUGCAGCCAUGCCGCGUGUAUGAAGAA